Molecule: ribosomal RNA, 335 nt
Filed under: uncultured vent bacterium
Lineage: Bacteria
Description: partial 16S ribosomal RNA
Source: RNAcentral
UUUUUAGGUUGGGUCACCACCCCCCUCGGGAAGUUUUUUUUUUAGCCCCGCCAAGCGCAACCCCCUUCGCUUUUGGUCCCCAGCUUUGGGGGGGCCUCUUAAGAGGCCGCCCGGGACAAACCCGGGGGAAGUGGGGAUAACCUCCAGUUUUCCUUGCCCCUUUUGGCAGGGGUUCACCCCGGGUUCAAAUGGCCGGUCAAAGGGGUUGCAAACCUGGAGGGGGGGCCAAUUUCCCAAAGCCCGUUCUCGGCCGGGAUGGUGUUCUCCACCUGGCGACCGGGAGCCCGGAAUGGCUAGAAUUGGGGGUUGCAGCAUGCUGCGGGAUACUUCCCGUG